Vidua chalybeata is the source of this 329-nucleotide long non-coding RNA. RefSeq lists it as uncharacterized. The record is from RefSeq and is a predicted model, not a curated record. Lineage: Eukaryota; Metazoa; Chordata; Aves; Passeriformes; Viduidae. The transcript is spliced from 2 exons.
AGUCCCAGCUCUCAGCCAGCUCCCCAUCUCGGUGGGACUGGGAUCCCUGGUGCCUGUGUUACCCUUUUGUGCCCACCUGCACGAGGCUUUUGGCUGGGCACCGGCUGGGAACCCCCUGGCUCAAUGCCCCAGCCCUGCUCCCUUCCCCUCCCAGUCCCAGCCAUGCCAGGCUCAGCCCACAGCCACCAACACCCUUCAAACAUCUCUUGGUGGGAUCCAGGAGAGUCUGAAGGGUCCCUCCACUCCUGGGCAGUUUCAUCUGAGGCUGAAAUGGGCUCAGGAUUUUCCUAUGAAGGCGCUGGGAUUAAAUUAAAGAGGAUUUAAGCAGA